AUUGAACGCUGGCGGAAUGCUUUACACAUGCAAGUCGAACGGUAGAGGGGGCAACCCCUCGAGAGUGGCGAACGGGUGAGUAAUAUAUCGGAACGUGCCCAGUCGUGGGGGAUAACGUAGCGAAAGUUACGCUAAUACCGCAUACGAUCUAAGGAUGAAAGCGGGGAACCGUAAGGCCUCGCGCGAUUGGAGCGGCCGAUAUCAGAUUAGGUAGUUGGUGAGGUAAAGGCUCACCAAGCCAACGAUCUGUAGCUGGUCUGAGAGGACGACCAGCCACACUGGAACUGAGACACGGUCCAGACUCCUACGGGAGGCAGCAGUGGGGAAUUUUGGACAAUGGACGAAAGUCUGAUCCAGCCAUUCCGCGUGCAGGAUGAAGGCCCUCGGGUUGUAAACUGCUUUUGUACGGAACGAAAAGGUCUCUCCUAAUACGAGGGGCUCAUGACGGUACCGUAAGAAUAAGCACCGGCUAACUACGUGCCAGCAGCCGCAGUAA
Molecule: ribosomal RNA, 496 nt
Filed under: uncultured bacterium
Lineage: Bacteria
Description: partial 16S ribosomal RNA
Rfam family: Bacterial small subunit ribosomal RNA
Source: RNAcentral